Molecule: unclassified non-coding RNA, 383 nt
Filed under: Campylobacter sputorum subsp. sputorum
Lineage: Bacteria; Pseudomonadati; Campylobacterota; Epsilonproteobacteria; Campylobacterales; Campylobacteraceae
Description: Campylobacter sputorum biovar sputorum partial miscellaneous RNA
Source: RNAcentral
GGCGCACGGGUGAGUAAUGUAUAGCUAAUCUGCCCCAUAGAGAGGAACAACACUUAGAAAUGAGUGCUAAUACCUCAUACUCCAAUUAUACAUAAGUUUAAUUGGGAAAUGUAGCUCUUAAUAAUAUAUAUCAAAGAUAAUUUAUAAAUAAAAAGUUAUAAAUAUAACAAUAAGCUUUUUUGCAGCUUUAUAUAAUAAAGCGAAAAAAAGUAAAGCAGUUAGAUUUAAUAAAUUUUUAUAGCAUUUAAAAAUACAAAAGACUUAAUUUUUAAAUCUAAAUAUAAAUUAUUACUAAUAUUUUUAAUAGUCAUUUAGAAAUAUCUUAAUAUAUAUUAUUAAGAGCUUUCGCUAUGGGAUGAGGCUAUAUUGUAUCAGCUAGUUGG